Molecule: small nucleolar RNA, 107 nt
Organism: Cannabis sativa
Lineage: Eukaryota; Viridiplantae; Streptophyta; Magnoliopsida; Rosales; Cannabaceae
Source: RefSeq, a predicted model, not a curated record
AUCCCAUGAUGUGGAUAUUUUCUGAUGAGAUCCUUGAACCUCUCCUAAGCCUCAUACAGAGAUUCAUUGUCCAGUUGACAAAAAACUUUGACAAGAAUUUUGUUACC